CUUCCCUCCUGUGGCUGGUGGGUUUGUUCCCGGUGGUAGAAUAGGACCCACAAUUGGCAAAGGUGGCAAUGGCAGGUUGGGACCUACCACUGGAGGUACGGGUAGCUUUGGGACGGUCACCGGAGGAACGGGUAGCUUAGGGACAGUUACCGGGGGAACGGGUAGCUCUGGGACGGUGACCGGAGGAACGGGUAGCUUGGGAACGGUCACUGGAGGAACUGGUAGCUUAGGUACGGUCACCGGAGGAACCGGUAGCUUAGGUACAGUCACUGGAGGAACGGGUAGCUUAGGUACGGUCACCGGAGGAACCGGUAGCUUGGGUACAGUCACUGGAGGAACGGGUAGCUUAGGUACAGUCACUGGAGGAACCGGUAGCUUAGGGACGGUCACCGGAGGAACUGGUAGUUUGGGAAUGUGUACUGGGGGUUUAGGGGAGGGCUUUCCACCCUUCCUGGGGUUACAUGAACCGCAUGAGAGGGAAUGUUG
This 486-nucleotide long non-coding RNA is filed under the name Arabidopsis lyrata. RNAcentral describes it as "long non-coding RNA (ALYR_LNC002478)". The record is from RNAcentral. Lineage: Eukaryota; Viridiplantae; Streptophyta; Magnoliopsida; Brassicales; Brassicaceae.